GACGAACGCUGGCGGCGUGCCUAAUACAUGCAAGUCGAGCGAGCGGAACUAACAGAUUUACUUCUGUAAUGACGUUAGGAAAGCGAGCGGCGGAUGGGUGAGUAACACGUGGGGAACCUGCCCCAUAGUCUGGGAUACCACUUGGAAACAGGUGCUAAUACCGGAUAAGAAAGCAGAUCUCAUGAUCAGCUUUUAAAAUGCGGCGUAAGCUGUCGCUAUGGGAUGGCCCCGCGGUGCAUUAGCUAGUUGGUAAGGUAAAGGCUUACCAAGGCGAUGAUGCAUAGCGGAGUCGAGAGAGUGAUAGGCCACAUUGGGACUGAGACACGGCACAAACUCCUACGGGAGGCAGCAGUAGGGAAUCUUCCACAAUGGACGCAAGUCAGAUGGAGCAACGCCGCGUGAGUGAAGAAGGUUUUCGGAUCGUAAAGCUCUGUUGUUGGUGAAGAAGGAGAGAGGUAGUAACUGGCCUUUAUUUGACGGUAAUCAACCAGAAAGUCACGGCUAACUACGUG
This 512-nucleotide ribosomal RNA is filed under the name uncultured bacterium. RNAcentral's name for it is "partial 16S ribosomal RNA". It matches the Rfam family "Bacterial small subunit ribosomal RNA", at positions 28 to 507 of the family's 1533-position model. The record is from RNAcentral.